RNAcentral lists this ribosomal RNA (523 nucleotides) under uncultured bacterium. RNAcentral describes it as "partial 16S ribosomal RNA". It matches the Rfam family "Bacterial small subunit ribosomal RNA", at positions 28 to 523 of the family's 1533-position model. The record is from RNAcentral.
GACGAACGCUGGCGGCGUGCCUAAUACAUGCAAGUCGAACGCAAAACUUUCACCGAAUGCUUGCAUUCACGAAAGUUUUGAGUGGCGAACGGGUGAGUAACACGUGGGUAACCCGCCCAGAAGAGGGGGAUAACACUUGGAAACAGAUGCUAAUACCGCAUAACCACAGAAACCACAUGGUUUCUGUGUCAAAGAUGGUUUCGGCUAUCACUUUGGGAUGGACCCGCGGCGUAUUAGCUAGUUGGUAAGGUAAUGGCUUACCAAGGCAAUGAUACGUAGCCGAACUGAGAGGUUGAUCGGCCACAUUGGGACUGAGACACGGCCCAAACUCCUACGGGAGGCAGCAGUAGGGAAUCUUCCACAAUGGACGAAAGUCUGAUGGAGCAACGCCGCGUGAGUGAAGAAGGUUUUCGGAUCGUAAAACUCUGUUGUCAGGGAAGAACGUGUGCGAGAGUAACUGCUCGUGCAGUGACGGUAUCUGGCCAGAAAGCCACGGCUAACUACGUGCCAGCCGCCGCAGUAA